ACUUCCGCACAGGGGUUCGAGUGGGGGCCUGAAAUCGCUGAUUUUGUGGCCGGCUUCCUAGAAAGCUACAGAAAGAGGAUAUUUGAGCUGUUGACUUCUGCGUAUACCACAAUCAGCAUUGCAGAUGUGGCUCACUUCAUGGGGAUGAGCCAGGAGGAUGCUACUAACUAUGCGGUGCAAAAUGGUUGGAGUCUGGAUGUGGCAACCAAGAUGCUUACUGUCAGAAAACAGAAGCCCCAGACUAACCAGAAGCUUGAUGCAAGCAAACUGCAGCGUUUGACCGAAUGUGUUUUCCACCUGGAGCACUGA
RNAcentral lists this ribosomal RNA (309 nucleotides) under Triticum aestivum (bread wheat). RNAcentral describes it as "partial small subunit ribosomal RNA". Lineage: Eukaryota; Viridiplantae; Streptophyta; Magnoliopsida; Poales; Poaceae. The record is from RNAcentral.